RNAcentral lists this long non-coding RNA (294 nucleotides) under Actinidia chinensis (golden kiwifruit). Its description in RNAcentral is "long non-coding RNA (ACHI_LNC006841)". Lineage: Eukaryota; Viridiplantae; Streptophyta; Magnoliopsida; Ericales; Actinidiaceae. The record is from RNAcentral.
CCCCAUGAUCCUGGAGCAGCGCGGGCAGUUGACCUCCGCGUGGAUCUGGUCGAAUUUGUCGCCGGAGGAUCCGUGCCAUCUGCGCUGGUCCCGGAACCCUAACCCUAUGAGAGAGAGUGGCGGGGGGGUGAGGGAUGAAUGAGAGGGAGAGGGUGAGGUGAGGGCGGUGGCGGUGGAGAGAGAGAUGUGAGUUUAGGUGUUAGGAGACGGAGGGUUGUUCUCCGUCGGAGUAUUGCAGACAUAGAGAGAGAGCAGUGCCACACUACCAGCAGAGUGUUGUGAAAGAGAGUCUUG